This 433-nucleotide ribosomal RNA is filed under the name uncultured bacterium. RNAcentral describes it as "partial 16S ribosomal RNA". It matches the Rfam family "Bacterial small subunit ribosomal RNA", at positions 29 to 507 of the family's 1533-position model. The record is from RNAcentral.
AGCGAACGCUGGCGGCAGGCCUAACACAUGCAAGUCGAACGAACUCUUCGGAGUUAGUGGCGGACGGGUGAGUAACACGUGGGAACGUGCCUUUUGGUUCGGAAUAACUCAGGGAAACUUGUGCUAAUACCGAAUGUGCCCUUCGGGGGAAAGAUUUAUCGCCAUUGGAGCGGCCCGCGUCUGAUUAGCUAGUUGGUGAGGUAACGGCUCACCAAGGCGACGAUCAGUAGCUGGUUUGAGAGGAUGACCAGCCACACUGGGACUGAGACACGGCCCAGACUCCUACGGGAGGCAGCAGUGGGGAAUCUUGCGCAAUGGGCGAAAGCCUGACGCAGCCAUGCCGCGUGAAUGAUGAAGGUCUUAGGGUUGUAAAAUUCUUUCACCGGGGACGAUAAUGACGGUACCCGGAGAAGAAGCCCCGGCUAACUUCGUG